GGCGGGAGGUCGCGCGGAUCUUCAGAGAUUAGAGUUUGAUCAUGGCUCAGAUUGAACGCUGGCGGCAUGCUUUACACAUGCAAGUCGAACGGUAACAGGGACUUCGGUCUGCUGACGAGUGGCGAACGGGUGAGUAACAUAUCGGAACGUGCCCAGUAAUGGGGGAUAGCUCGGCGAAAGCCGGAUUAAUACCGCAUACGCCCUGAGGGGGAAAGUGGGGGAUCUUCGGACCUCACGUUAUUGGAGCGGCCGAUAUCGGAUUAGCUAGUUGGUGGGGUAAAGGCCUACCAAGGCGACGAUCCGUAGCUGGUCUGAGAGGAUGAUCAGCCACACUGGGACUGAGACACGGCCCAGACUCCUACGGGAGGCAGCAGUGGGGAAUUUUGGACAAUGGGCGAAAGCCUGAUCCAGCCAUGCCGCGUGAGUGAAGAAGGCCUUCGGGUUGUAAAGCUCUUUCAGGUGGAAAGAAAGCGGAUGGGCUAAUACCCUGUUCGGAUGACGGUACCACCAGAAGAAGCACCGGCUAACUACGUGCCAGCAGCCGCGGUAAUACGUAGGGUGCGAGCGUUAAUCGGAAUUACUGGGCGUAAAGCGUGCGCAGGCGGUUGUGUAAGACAGGUGUGAAAUCCCCGGGCUUAACCUGGGAACUGCGCUUGUGACUGCACAGCUAGAGUACGGCAGAGGGGGGUAGAAUUCCACGUGUAGCAGUGAAAUGCGUAGAGAUGUGGAGGAACACCGAUGGCGAAGGCAGCCCCCUGGGCCAAUACUGACGCUCAUGCACGAAAGCGUGGGUAGCAAACAGGAUUAGAUACCCUGGUAGUCCACGCCCUAAACGAUGUCAACUAGGUGUUGGGAGGGUAAAACCUUUUAGUACCGGAGCUAACGCGUGAAGUUGACCGCCUGGGGAGUACGGCCGCAAGGUUAAAACUCAAAGGAAUUGACGGGGACCCGCACAAGCGGUGGAUGAUGUGGAUUAAUUCGAUGCAACGCGAAAAACCUUACCUACCCUUGACAUGUCCGGAAGCCCUUAGAGAUUUGGGUGUGCUCGAAAGAGAGCGG
This 1059-nucleotide ribosomal RNA is filed under the name uncultured bacterium. Its description in RNAcentral is "bacterial SSU rRNA". It matches the Rfam family "Bacterial small subunit ribosomal RNA", at positions 1 to 1030 of the family's 1533-position model. The record is from RNAcentral.